UGUUCCUCGUGUGAAUGGCUGAAAAUUGGGCCAAAGUCACAGAAGAAGAAAAAACAAACAAUGCUAAUAUGGUGGACUCGAGCAGUGAAGUUAAACUGAAAGAUGCACCGGCAUCGUUUAAAUCAAAAGUGUGGACUCAAUUCAGCUUUGAUAAUGUGG
Sphaeramia orbicularis (orbiculate cardinalfish) is the source of this 159-nucleotide long non-coding RNA. RefSeq lists it as uncharacterized. NCBI's taxonomy places the organism in Eukaryota, Metazoa, Chordata, Actinopteri, Kurtiformes, Apogonidae. The transcript is spliced from 3 exons. The record is from RefSeq and is a predicted model, not a curated record.